This 1132-nucleotide long non-coding RNA is filed under the name Heterocephalus glaber (naked mole-rat). Its description in RNAcentral is "lncRNA (ENSHGLG00000034073.1)". The record is from RNAcentral. Lineage: Eukaryota; Metazoa; Chordata; Mammalia; Rodentia; Bathyergidae.
GACGAGCCCCGGCAUUGUCUACACCGCGGGCCUGGGCGCGGUCCUCAGGCCGAGCUCUGCGGUCUCUGCCGCUGCGCGGAACGGACUGGCUCGCCCGUGGCUUCAGCCUGCUCGGGAGAGGGAGCGAGUUUCCUCCAAUUCACCUCGAGUUUUAACUCUUACAAUAAAUACGGCAAAGAGGAAAAACGCCCAAGUGAACCCGCUUGUGCAGGCUUUGGGGGAACCCACAGCCGGAGGAGCCUCUUUGUUUGCCGAAGAUUUAAGAAAUUCUGUCAAUUUAAAAUGUUGGCUUUAUUGUUUUCAGGGUUGAAGUCUGAAUCUUAAGGACUCGACGUCUCUUACUGCCCUUAUACGUAAAAGUGAGACGGAGCAUUUGAGUACAGAAGCUGCCCCUUGGCCUUGGCUAGGGGCCUGCGUGGGGCAUCUGUACCCACGCAGGGAGGAGUGGGCCGGCGAGGCCCCGGCUGGAGGGCUGUGUGCUUUGUGACGGCCUGACAUAAUGCCAUUUUCUAGCUAGUCAUUCCUUCUGAGACUUUUGAUGGGUCAUAAUUUUGUUGAAAAGAUGGACAUCUUUUGUGCUGUACACUUGGAAGAUAUUUGCAGUUUGAGAUUUAUAGACAACCCACUAGAAUAGUAAGUCCAACAAAUUUUUAAAAUUUCCUUCCCAUUACCCCUGUGUGUAGCUUUCAAUACUUGUGAACUUAUAAACUGAUGAAAUGUAUAAAGCAAAACUUAGCACUCAAAUGUAAGGGACAAAAGAAUACGUGUUACCUGUUCAUUUAGCAAAUCAUUGUCUACAUUCUUAAUGCAAAAAUACUGCAUGAUAAAGUCUUUUCUACUGAAUGAGAAUAUCAUAUUUCCGUUUUCUUUUUUGAAAUAUAUUGUUUACCUAUUGCUUUUGAGUUUGAGAAAAUUCAUUAGGAUAUCUCAAUCUAAGAUUUCCCUUGGAUAAUAAAUUUCACUGUCUUUAUUAGUCUGAAGUGCUCCUAUCUUUGCAUUUGUCUUCCAAUUUGUCUAAUAAUUGUGACCUGUCUAAUAAUUGUGAUAUGUCAGUUCUCUUCCAUUAUGGGCAGAAAACCCUCUCUGAAUUCUUAAGUGUAUACACCAAAAACUAAAAUUAAAUGAAGGGGAU